Molecule: ribosomal RNA, 868 nt
Filed under: uncultured archaeon
Lineage: Archaea
Description: bacterial SSU rRNA
Rfam family: Archaeal small subunit ribosomal RNA
Source: RNAcentral
CUCCGGUUGAUCCCGCCGGACCUGACUGCUAUCGGAUUGGUACUAAGCCAUGCGAGUCAUUGUAGCAAUACAAGGCGGACGGCUCAGUAACACGUAGUCAACCUAACUCGUGGACGUGGAUAACCUCGGGAAACUGAGAAUAAACCACGAUAGACCAUAGUGCCUGGAAUGGCUUAUGGUCCAAACAGUUUACUGCCAUGGGAUGGGACUGCGGCCUAUCAGCUUGUUGGUGAGGUAAUGGCCCACCAAGGCGAUUACAGGUACGGGCUCUGAGAGGAGAAGCCCGGAGAUGGGUACUGAGACACGGACCCAGGCCCUAUGGGGCGCAGCAGGCGAGAAACCUUAGCAAUGUGCGAAAGCACGACUGGGUCAGUCCGAGUGAUUCCUGAUAAAGGAGUCUUUUGCUUGUCCUAAAAGCACAGGUGAAUAAGGGGUGGGCAAGUCUGGUGUCAGCCGCCGCGGUAAUACCAGCACCUCGAGUGGUCAGGACGUUUAUUGGGCCUAAAGCAUCCGUAGCCGGCUUUGCAAGUCUUCGGUUAAAUCCACCUGCUCAACAGAUGGGCUGCUGGAGAUACUACAAAGCUAGGGAGUGGGAGAGGCAGACGGUAUUCAGUGGGUAGGGGUAAAAUCCUCUGAUCCAUUGAGGACCACCAGUGGCGAAGGCGGUCUGCCAGAACACGUUCGACGGUGAGGGAUGAAAGCUGGGGGAGCAAACCGGAUUAGAUACCCGGGUAGUCCCAGCUGUAAACGAUGCAAACUCGGUGAUGCAUUGGCUUAUGGCCAAUGCAGUGCCGCAGGGAAGCCGUUAAGUUUGCCGCCUGGGAAGUACGGACGCAAGUCUGAAACUUAAAGGAAUUGGCGGGGAGCA